RNAcentral lists this ribosomal RNA (459 nucleotides) under uncultured bacterium. RNAcentral's name for it is "partial 16S ribosomal RNA". It matches the Rfam family "Bacterial small subunit ribosomal RNA", at positions 338 to 795 of the family's 1533-position model. The record is from RNAcentral.
CCUACGGGUGGCAGCAGUGAGGAAUAUUGGUCAAUGGUCGAGAGCCUGAACCAGCCAAGUCGCGUGAGGGAAGAAGGUCCUGCGGAUUGUAAACCUCUUUUGUCAGGGAGCAAGGACCGCCACGCGUGGUGCGGCGAGAGUACCUGAAGAAAAAGCAUCGGCUAACUCCGUGCCAGCAGCCGCGGUAAUACGGAGGAUGCGAGCGUUAUCCGGAUUUAUUGGGUUUAAAGGGUGCGUAGGCGGGCCUUCAGGUCGGCGGUCAAAGUGCGGGGCUCAACCCCGGCGCGCCGUCGGAACCGGGGGACUCGAGUAGCGGAGAAGUAUGCGGAAUGCGUGGUGUAGCGGUGAAAUGCAUAGAUAUCACGCAGAACCCCGAUUGCGAAGGCAGCGUACCGGCUGGUCACUGACGCUGAGGCACGAAAGCGCGGGUAUCGAACAGGAUUAGAUACCCUAGUAGUC